Molecule: ribosomal RNA, 880 nt
Filed under: uncultured Planctomycetales bacterium
Lineage: Bacteria; Pseudomonadati; Planctomycetota; Planctomycetia; Planctomycetales
Description: bacterial SSU rRNA
Rfam family: Bacterial small subunit ribosomal RNA
Source: RNAcentral
GGAAGGGUGAGUAAUGCGUGGGUAAUCUACCUCGAAGAUUGGAAUAACCUGGGGAAACUCGGGAUAAUUCCGAAUGUGGUCGCUCCGCGCAUGCGGGGCUGUCUAAAGCUGGGGACCGCAAGGCCUAGCGCUUCGAGAUGAGCUCACGUCCUAUCAGCUUGUUGGUGAGGUAAUGGCUCACCAAGGCUUACGGGUAGCUGGUCUGAGAGGAUGGUCAGCCACACUGGGACUGAGACACUGCCCAGACUCCUACGGGAGGCUGCAGUCGAGAAUCAUUCGCAAUGGGCGAAAGCCUGACGAUGCGACGCCGCGUGCAGGAUGACGGCCUUCGGGUUGUAAACUGCUGUGAUGGGGGAACAAUUGGCGGACUGUUAAUAGCUAUCCGUCUUGAUAGUACCCCAAGAGGAAGCCACGGCUAACUCUGUGCCAGCAGCCGCGGUAAUACAGAGGUGGCGAGCGUUGUUCGGAUUUACUGGGCGUAAAGGGUGCGUAGGCGGCUCCAUGUGUCGGGUGUGAAAUCCAACGGAUUAUCCGUUGAACUGCACACGAAACUGUGGGGCUUGAGGACAGGAGAGGAGGGCGGAAUUCACGGUGUAGCGGUGAAAUGCGUUGAUAUCGUGAAGAACGCCGGUGGCGAAGGCGGCCCUCUGGACUGUUUCUGACGCUGAGGCACGAAAGCUAGGGGAGCAAACAGGAUUAGAUACCCUGGUAGUCCUAGCCGUAAACGUUGUGUACUUGGUGUGGGAGGAAUUAUCCCCUUCCGUGCCGGAGCUAACGCGUUAAGUACACCGCCUGGAGAGUACGGUCGCAAGAUUAAAACUCAAAGAAAUUGACGGGGGCCCGCACAAGCGGUGGAGCAUGUGGCUUAAUUCGAUGCAAC